RNAcentral lists this ribosomal RNA (406 nucleotides) under uncultured bacterium. RNAcentral's name for it is "partial 16S ribosomal RNA". It matches the Rfam family "Bacterial small subunit ribosomal RNA", at positions 30 to 526 of the family's 1533-position model. The record is from RNAcentral.
AUUGAACGCUGGCGGCAGGCCUAACACAUGCAAGUCGAACGCGUGGCGGACGGGUGAGUAAUGUCUGGGAAACUGCCCGAUGGAGGGGGAUAACUACUGGAAACGGUACUUAUUACCGCAUACCAUCGGAUGUGCCCAGAUGGGAUUAGCUAGUAGGUGGGGUAACGGCUCACCUAGGCGACGAUCCCUAGCUGGUCUGAGAGGGUGACCAGCCACACUGGAACUGAGACACGGUCCAGACUCCUACGGGAGGCAGCAGUGGGGAAUAUUGCACAAUGGGCGCAAGCCUGAUGCAGCCAUGCCGCGUGUAUGAAGAAGGCCUUCGGGUUGUAAAGUACUUUCAGCGAGGAGGCGUUACUCGCAGAAGAAGCACCGGCUAACUCCGUGCCAGCCGCCGCGGUAAUUC